RNAcentral lists this ribosomal RNA (352 nucleotides) under Penthetria funebris. Its description in RNAcentral is "12S ribosomal RNA". The record is from RNAcentral. Lineage: Eukaryota; Metazoa; Arthropoda; Insecta; Diptera; Pleciidae.
UAUAAAAGUAAAAAAAAAAUCUUAAAGUAGUAUUAGUUUUUGCUUGAAAUUUAAUAAAUUUGGCGGUAAUUUAUUUCUAUUCAGAGGAACUUGUUAAAUAAUUGAUAAUCCACAUUAAAUCUUACUUAAUUUAUUUAGUUUGUAUAUCGUCGUUAUCAGAAUUUCUUAAAAAAGUAAAAAUUUUCUAAAAUAUUAAAUUAUAUAAAUAUAUAUAUCAGAUCAAGGUGCAGCUUAUAAUUAAGAUAUAAUGAGUUACAAUAAAUAUAUUUUUGGUUUUAAAAUUGAAAUAUUUUAUUUAAAUUGGAUUUGAAUGUAAAUUUAUUAAAGGUAAAUAAAUGAUUUAGUCUACUGG